Molecule: long non-coding RNA, 3296 nt
Organism: Venturia canescens
Lineage: Eukaryota; Metazoa; Arthropoda; Insecta; Hymenoptera; Ichneumonidae
Exons: 3
Source: RefSeq, a predicted model, not a curated record
ACGCAUCACGAAUAUUACAGUUGCCGUCCGAGAGCUCAGACUUGUUCACUGCUUUUUCAAUAGAUUCGCUUUGUCGACAAAACAAUAUGAAAAGAAUUCCUAAUCCGAUUGCUACCAAAACGGGAGCAUCCGUGCUCGCAGUGAUCAACGAGGGAGACUCUUAUCGCGAUUCGCACGACCGAUUUCUUAUAAUCAUGUCUCGAGCAUCAUGCUCUGGCACAAGAUUAUUCAACGUGCAUCUAAGGCGAAACAUCGAAAAUUCGAUGUUUUAUCCUUAAUGAGUGAUUCUUGAGAAGCUAUCGAUCAACUCAGUGGAGAGCGAAUUUUCUAAAUAUUCAAUCGUCAGCACCACCAAUUCUGUUGCCGAGCGAUGAUCCAGCAACGAAUUUCGUUUUAUACCGAUGGUAUUGAAGUUGGGACCGUUGGAAGUCUAUCGUUCCACGUGAUUAAAGCAGAUUCCAAAAAGCAACGUUUGUAAGUUCAAUUUAAAAAAAGUGCAUUUUUGGAAAGCAAAAAAAUAUGCGGUACUCCAGCGAUGAAAACUUCAAUCUCGCUCGUAUCUAACGCAGCGCUCGAAAGCCACGUAAACGUAAAGUACGCUUUCGGGUGACCUGAUUCAAGCAUUUGCGAAACGUCCAAAAAAAUCUUCGAAUAAAAUAUAAUGAAUAGAAACCAUUUGAAAAUUUUACGAAGAGCACUCGAGGGCAUAAUUCCUCUCGAAUUAAUUUUCAAAGUCACGAACGGUAUAGCGAGUUGACAAAAUUAUUAUGAUAAUUUGUGGUAAUAUUUGUAGUGAAAAUAACUUCACCUACAGAAAUGAGUUUAGUGUCAAAAUAAUUAGCCAAAAUGAUGCAUAUCGCUUAUGCGUCAAAUUUUCUCAUUAACAUACCUUUUCUUGAGUUCUAUUCCACACGAUUACGCUGUGACCGCUAUUGAUGAGGUUCUUGACGAUCCCACUGCCCAUUAUUCCGAGACCGAGAAAACCGAACUUCAGGGUCGAAGGGAGUAUGUUUUUCUCCUUCAAGGUCUGGGACAGAGUUUCCACGUCCAGGGGUGGUGUUACCUUUAGAACGUUGAAAAAAAAUUAUACAUAUACAUUCGUGUGUAUGUAUAUAUGUUGUAAAUCAAUGGCCUCAGGUAUUUCGACUGGGAAAUGUCGAACGGUUUACAGUUCAAUUACGAAUCGAAAAACUUAACAAUUGAAAUGUUUCUCGGUCAACCAUUUUUGAAAAUUCAAUAAAUUAAUCCGCUACUGCGCGUAACGAGAUGCUUCAUGAAUUUCAUAUUUGUCGAGUUCCCUGAAUAUUUUUUGAAUAUGCUUUUUUUUAUGAUUCUUUAGACCUAUCGCCACAUCAAUAUGUUUCUGAAAAAUAAGAUGCGAUCGACAGUAGGCGUGCAUUCAAUGAUUUUUCCUUUUUUGAUGAAUUUCUCUCGUUUAAAUUGUUUUAACCGCAAUCGAUCAAUAUUUAUGAUUAGAAACUCAAAAGUGUGAAAUAUCGCAGUUAAAAAAUAACUUGAAAAAUCCAAUCUUCUUUUUUCAAGAACGUUCACUCCUUUCAAAUUUCUUCGAAGCUUUAGAAAAAUUGUCAAAAGUUUGGAAACUUUUCCGAAUACAAUAUCAACAUUACAUUGACAACAUUUUUGGGAAAAGGCGGAAAAAAAUGAGCAAAGAAAAAAAAAUUACUUCGCUAUUCGUUAAUUAAUUACAGCUGUCACGACUUAUGUGCAACAAUUUUAUGAUUGUUUCAUCAUCACGUAUCAAUGUUUAAAACAACUCGAAGAUAACCGAUAUUCGAAUGAUUGAUGUUUUUUUACGGAGCAGUGGAGUAGUUUUAUACAAUUUCACUCGAGGGUGUUCGUUGAUAUGAACUUUGCAAAACAGUUGAAAAUUGUAUAAUUUCAAAUAAAUUUCUGAAACCGUCAGUAAUGAGUGUGGUUCCAACGAUCACUUAAGUUAAGCAGCUUGGGGCGAUACUCGGAUGGGUGACCGCAUAGCCACGCACCGUCAAGCGCAUCAGUCUCUGUGCGGAAGGCAGUUUUUCUGAGUUUCUGAUCGCCCCAACGAACUGAAACUCAAUAAAAAUAUAACCGCUUGUUUUGACCGGAUUUUCAGCAGUUUCUCUGGGCCCUCGUGCAAAUGCCAUAUGGUAAUUUGUUAGGGAAGAGUCACUGCAAGCAAGAUUGUAAGAGAAUCUCGCAGAAAUAGAACUGAGAAUAAGGAGAGUCGAGUGAACUCAUCCGUUGAAGCUCGGCUGAAUGAGAACCACUGCAAAGCGCGCUUGUAAGAUAGCAUCGUUUCACCGUCAUCCGGCUCAUGAAACGUGAAAUUUUAAGCUCACAAAUCCGUACAUUUCGAGAAUUGUGGAGUACAAAAAAAUUGCAACAUCAUUCUCAAAAAUUAAAAAAAUAAGUGAAUAAAUAAAUAGUUUUCAUAAUCUGAUGAAAAAAACCUUGUUUUUUUUACCAAAGUUAAUGCUUGUUGCAUGAGAAAAACCUAACAAUGUUUUCAAAAAGAAACGUUGACUCGAAACUAUUUUCCAUCAAAUAACACUCACUGAAUUUCAUUACAAAAAUUAUUUGGAUUGCUAAAACCUUGAAGAUACAAAAAGCAGAAAAAUCAUCAUUUUUUACAAUUUUUUUGUUUAACUUAAAAAUUUGAUUUGAGAGAAAGCAGAAAAAAAUCGUUUUCAAAAGUUGUCCACAACUUUCCAUAAUUUUUAAUGAAAACGCUUCGAUUGAAAAUUACCAAAAUGAAUUAAAUUCAUUGAUCAACGGAGCUCUUGAUCCGGAAUUGGUGAUUGAAAAUUUUUACUUUCGAGUGGAGAGAUUUUUUGAAUAUUCGUUUCAAUACUCAAAAAAUAAAAACGUUGGAAACGCUGUUAUAAAAAAAUAAGAACGAAACAAAAAAAUCGGUAUGACCAUUGUAUGAAAACUCGUUGCGAUUCUCUAAUGAAUGCAUUACUGGACAGUUCACAAAGAAAUACUUGAAUAAGAAAAAAACUAUAAUUAACGCUGAUGGUGUUUUUUGUAACGAGACAGAAGAAUUUGUUGGAAACAAACAAAUGAUUUCAAUCAUGAAUAAUAAUGAUAAUAAUAAGCGGUAGAUGAAGCAUUUUUCGAGGAUUUUGUUCCGUUGACUCGACAAUAAUUGGUAAACAAGCUGUGAAAUUUUGACUAUUUCUCGUCACAAAUGGUCGUUCAUUUAUUUGAAUUCGCCUGUUCGAAAAAAGGAACGAUUUUUUUGUAGCAAGAGAGCUUAUGUUUGAACGAAACCUUAAUUUUCCGAGACUUACAGG